GUAGAUGUAGUUUAAAGAAAACUUCAGAUUGUGAUUCUGAAAACAGGGGUUAAAAACCUCUCUCCUACC
Molecule: transfer RNA, 69 nt
Filed under: Kopua minima
Lineage: Eukaryota; Metazoa; Chordata; Actinopteri; Blenniiformes; Gobiesocidae
Description: Aspasma minima tRNA-His
Rfam family: tRNA
About the family: Transfer RNA (tRNA) molecules are approximately 80 nucleotides in length. Their secondary structure includes four short double-helical elements and three loops (D, anti-codon, and T loops).
Source: RNAcentral